GAGUUUGAUCAUGGCUCAGGAUGAACGCUAGCGGCAGGCCUAACACAUGCAAGUCGAGGGGUAACAGGGAAAAGCUUGCUUUUCCGCUGACGACCGGCGCACGGGUGCGUAACGCGUAUGCAACCUACCUUUUACAGGAGUAUAGCCCAGAGAAAUUUGGAUUAAUCCUCCAUAAUAUCUUAAUCAUGCAUAUGAUAAAGAUUAAAGCUUCGGUGGUAAAAGAUGGGCAUGCGUUUUAUUAGCUAGUAGGUGAGGUAACGGCUCACCUAGGCCACGAUAAAUAGGGGCCCUGAGAGGGGGAUCCCCCACACUGGUACUGAGACACGGACCAGACUCCUACGGGAGGCAGCAGUGAGGAAUAUUGGACAAUGGACGAAAGUCUGAUCCAGCCAUGCCGCGUGCAGGAUGACGGCCCUAUGGGUUGUAAACUGCUUUUAUACAGGAAGAAACACUCCCACGUGUGGGGGCUUGACGGUACUGUACGAAUAAGGAUCGGCUAACUCCGUGCCAGCAGCCGCGGUAAUACGGAGGAUCCAAGCGUUAUCCGGAAUUAUUGGGUUUAAAGGGUCCGCAGGCGGUCUAUUAAGUCAGAGGUGAAAUCUUGCAGCUCAACUGUAAAAUUGCCUUUGAUACUGGUAGACUUGAGUCAUUGUGAAGUGGUUAGAAUGUGUAGUGUAGCGGUGAAAUGCAUAGAUAUUACACAGAAUACCAAUUGCGAAGGCAGAUCACUAACAAUGUACUGACGCUCAUGGACGAAAGCGUGGGGAGCGAACAGGAUUAGAUACCCUGGUAGUCCACGCCGUAAACGAUGGAUACUAACUGUUCGUCCGCCUCGGCGGAUGAGUGGUUAAGCGAAAGUGAUAA
Molecule: ribosomal RNA, 864 nt
Filed under: uncultured bacterium
Lineage: Bacteria
Description: bacterial SSU rRNA
Rfam family: Bacterial small subunit ribosomal RNA
Source: RNAcentral